This 496-nucleotide ribosomal RNA is filed under the name uncultured bacterium. RNAcentral's name for it is "partial 16S ribosomal RNA". It matches the Rfam family "Bacterial small subunit ribosomal RNA", at positions 28 to 506 of the family's 1533-position model. The record is from RNAcentral.
GAUGAACGCUGGCGGCGUGCCUAAUACAUGCAAGUCGAGCGAACGGACGAGAAGCUUGCUUCUCUGAUGUUAGCGGCGGACGGGUGAGUAACACGUGGAUAACCUACCUAUAAGACUGGGAUAACUUCGGGAAACCGGAGCUAAUACCGGAUGAUAUUUUGAACCGCAUGGUUCAAAAGUGAAAGACGGUCUUGCUGUCACUUAUAGAUGGAUCCGCGCUGCAUUAGCUAGUUGGUAAGGUAACGGCUUACCAAGGCAACGAUGCAUAGCCGACCUGAGAGGGUGAUCGGCCACACUGGAACUGAGACACGGCCCAGACCCCGACGGGGGGCAGCAGUAGGGAAUCUUCCGAAAUGGGCGAAAGCCUGACGGAGCAACGCCGCGUGAGUGAUGAAGGUCUUCGGAUCGUAAAACUCUUUUAUUAGGGAAAAACAAAUGUGUAAGUAACUGGGCACAUCUUGACGGUACCAAAUCAAAAAGCCACGGCUAACUACGG